CCUACGGGAGGCAGCAGUGGGGAAUAUUGGACAAUGGGGGCAACCCUGAUCCAGCCAUGCCGCGUGUGUGAAGAAGGCCCUCGGGUUGUAAAGCACUUUCAGUGAGGAAGAACGCCUGGUGGUUAAUACCCAUCAGGAAAGACAUCACUCACAGAAGAAGCACCGGCUAACUCCGUGCCAGCAGCCGCGGUAAUACGGAGGGUGCGAGCGUUAAUCGGAAUUACUGGGCGUAAAGCGCGCGUAGGUGGCUUGAUAAGCCGGUUGUGAGAGCCCCGGGCUCAACCUGGGAACGGCAUCCGGAACUGUCAAGCUAGAGUGCAGGAGAGGAAGGUAGAAUUCCCGGUGUAGCGGUGAAAUGCGUAGAGAUCGGGAGGAAUACCAGUGGCGAAGGCGGCCUUCUGGACUGACACUGACACUGAGGUGCGAAAGCGUGGGUAGCAAACAGGAUUAGAUACCCCGGUAGUC
Molecule: ribosomal RNA, 465 nt
Filed under: Vreelandella stevensii
Lineage: Bacteria; Pseudomonadati; Pseudomonadota; Gammaproteobacteria; Oceanospirillales; Halomonadaceae
Description: partial 16S ribosomal RNA
Rfam family: Bacterial small subunit ribosomal RNA
Source: RNAcentral